This 719-nucleotide ribosomal RNA is filed under the name Escherichia coli. RNAcentral describes it as "bacterial SSU rRNA". It matches the Rfam family "Bacterial small subunit ribosomal RNA", at positions 23 to 731 of the family's 1533-position model. Lineage: Bacteria; Pseudomonadati; Pseudomonadota; Gammaproteobacteria; Enterobacterales; Enterobacteriaceae. The record is from RNAcentral.
CUCAGAUUGAACGCUGGCGGCAGGCCUAACACAUGCAAGUCGAACGGUAACAGGAAGAAGCUUGCUUCUUUGCUGACGAGUGGCGGACGGGUGAGUAAUGUCUGGGAAACUGCCUGAUGGAGGGGGAUAACUACUGGAAACGGUAGCUAAUACCGCAUAACGUCGCAAGACCAAAGAGGGGGACCUUCGGGCCUCUUGCCAUCGGAUGUGCCCAGAUGGGAUUAGCUAGUAGGUGGGGUAACGGCUCACCUAGGCGACGAUCCCUAGCUGGUCUGAGAGGAUGACCAGCCACACUGGAACUGAGACACGGUCCAGACUCCUACGGGAGGCAGCAGUGGGGAAUAUUGCACAAUGGGCGCAAGCCUGAUGCAGCCAUGCCGCGUGUAUGAAGAAGGCCUUCGGGUUGUAAAGUACUUUCAGCGGGGAGGAAGGGAGUAAAGUUAAUACCUUUGCUCAUUGACGUUACCCGCAGAAGAAGCACCGGCUAACUCCGUGCCAGCAGCCGCGGUAAUACGGAGGGUGCAAGCGUUAAUCGGAAUUACUGGGCGUAAAGCGCACGCAGGCGGUUUGUUAAGUCAGAUGUGAAAUCCCCGGGCUCAACCUGGGAACUGCAUCUGAUACUGGCAAGCUUGAGUCUCGUAGAGGGGGGUAGAAUUCCAGGUGUAGCGGUGAAAUGCGUAGAGAUCUGGAGGAAUACCGGUGGCGAAGGCGGCCCCCUG